CAGCCUCACUGUUCCGAAGAGGAAACCGGCUCAGAGAGGCACCUGCCCGGACUCACACAGCGCGGCAGGGGAGGGCUCGUGAGGUCCCGCUUGGGUAGGAGGCUCUGACCCUGAAGCGUGGAGGCUGGACCGAAGUAACGUCCUCUCCCAGCCCCCGGGGCCCCCAAAGAAGACUGAUGCGUGGCCAGUGGAGGGGAAAGUGCUGGAUAUCCCCACGGAGGACCAGACGGGUCAAGGCUUCUAUUCGAUCUCUUUCCCCUAGACCCCCAGCCGCCCAGCCAUGUCUAGCCCAGAAGCCCUGCCCGCCCCAGCCCCAGGUCGGGUCCCCCCAUCUCUACCGUCAGCCUCUCCCCUGACCAGGUCCCUCUGGGAGCAAAAGCCAAGAGGGAUCCUUGAAGUGGAAAGAGGGAUGGGAACCCAGAAAAGACACACACGCCCCGCCCCGCCCAGUGGCCACGUGAAAAUAUGACUGAUUUCCAGAGGAGUCGGGGAGCCCUGUCACCCAGCCCAAGACCUGUGGCCUCCCCACCAUGAGGCUGGAUUCCUCCCUUGCCCCCAGGGCACUCAAUAAAGGCUCAUAAAGAAACGAA
Molecule: long non-coding RNA, 590 nt
Organism: Hyaena hyaena (striped hyena)
Lineage: Eukaryota; Metazoa; Chordata; Mammalia; Carnivora; Hyaenidae
Exons: 2
Source: RefSeq, a predicted model, not a curated record